GAUGAAGAACGCAGCGAAAUGCGAUAAGUAAUGUGAAUUGCAGAAUUCAGUGAAUCAUCGAAUCUUUGAACGCACAUUGCGCCCGCCAGUAUUCUGGCGGGCAUGCCUGUUCGAGCGUCAUUUCAACCAUCAAGCCCCCGGCUUGUGUUGGGGACCUGCGGCUGCCGCAGGCCCUGAAAACCAGUGGCGGGCUCGCUAGUCACUCCGAGCGUAGUAGUUAUAUCUCGCUCAGGGCGUGCUGCGGGUUCCGGCCGUUAAAAGCCUUAUUUACCCAAGGUUGACCUCGGAUCAGGUAGGAAGACCCGCUGAACUUAAGCAUAUCAAUAAGCGGAGGA
RNAcentral lists this unclassified non-coding RNA (335 nucleotides) under soil metagenome. RNAcentral's name for it is "partial contains 5.8S ribosomal RNA, internal transcribed spacer 2, and large subunit ribosomal RNA". The stretch from base 1 to 120 matches the Rfam family "5.8S ribosomal RNA", at positions 35 to 154 of the family's 154-position model. The record is from RNAcentral.